Molecule: long non-coding RNA, 608 nt
Organism: Erinaceus europaeus (western European hedgehog)
Lineage: Eukaryota; Metazoa; Chordata; Mammalia; Eulipotyphla; Erinaceidae
Exons: 2
Source: RefSeq, a predicted model, not a curated record
AGGGUUCACAUUUUCCUUAAUAGGACAGAAUAUAAUAAAGGAGGAAAAAAUGAUAUAACACAGAGCCUCCCCAGAAGAAACAACAACUUUCCACAUGCCAGAAUUCCCCAUUGAGAUUUCAGCUGUCAUAGUGCCUCUGGUAUAGUCUAAGGACUCCUCCAACAUGGCUGGUUGUUUUUGCUUCCCACUCUUCUGUUACUGUUAUCCCAUAUGGUGUGUGUAACUGAUGGGAACCCAAGCUGUAUUCCCAAGUAAUUGUCUCACAGCUAGAAAAUGUGAAGAUCAUCCUCCCCAAAGCACCCUGUGGAAGAAUAGGCUUGUGUAUGUCCUAGAGAAUAUGGAGUCUCUACCGUUUCACACACUUGAGUAUCACCAACAGCAAAGCUGAAGGAACCGAGGACAAACCUGAGAUGCAUCAACAAAGUCUAUGCCCUCAUCAAGACUAACAUAACUCUUCUACUUGUAUCAACUGAACAAAAAGUCACAAGGAACCAGGCUUCUGGAUACAUCUUCUUUCUUGUUUCCACAGGAAAUAUCAGUAAAUGUGCAAGAGGGGAGAGAAAUAGAUAAGUUAAUGUUGAUAAGAAAAGUAAAAUAAUGGCAUCUUG